Molecule: RNA transcript, 1754 nt
Organism: Nycticebus coucang (slow loris)
Lineage: Eukaryota; Metazoa; Chordata; Mammalia; Primates; Lorisidae
Gene name: Y-box-binding protein 1-like
Exons: 1
Source: RefSeq, a predicted model, not a curated record
AUAAUAAUACAGGGACGUAGCUGGGUGUGGUGGCUUGUGCCUGUAAUCUUACCGCUCUGGGAGGCUGAGGCUAGAGGAGUAAGAUCAGGAGUUUAAGACUAGUCUGAGCAAGAGUGAGAUUUCCCUCUCUACUAAAACUAGAAAAAUUAGCUGGACAUCAUGGUAGGUGCAUGUAGUCUCAGGUACUCAGGAGGCUGAGGCAGGAGGAUUGUUUGAAGCCAGGAGUUUAAGGUUGCUGUGAGCUAGGUUGAUGUCACAGCACUCUGCCCUGAGCAACAGAGUAAGACUCGGUCUCGAAACAAAACAAAACAGGAACAGUAUUUGCCUUUUUUAUUCUCAUUUUUUCAGGGAAGUUUUUUUCCAGAUACUAUAUGAUAUGUUAUCUAGCAAUAGGUAAACUAUAGAAGCAGAUAAGAGAAUUCAAGCUUGGCGUUCGAUCGGUAGCGGGAGCGGAGAGCGGACCCCAGAGAGCCCUGAGCAGCCCCACCGCCGCCACCGGCCUAGUUACCAUCACACAUUGGGAGGAGCCGCAGCUGCUGCAGCCGGCCCCAGUCACCAUCACCGCAACCAUGAGCAGUGAGGCUGAGACCCAGCAGCCGCCCGCCGCCCCCGCCCUCAGCACUGCCAACACCAAGCCCGGCACUACGGGCAGCAGCGCAGGGAGCGGUGGCCCGGACGGUCUCAAAUCUGUGGCGCCUGCCGGCAAGGACAAGAAAAUCAUCACAACAAAGGUUUUGGGAACAGUAAAAUGGUUCAAUGUGAGAAACGGAUAUGGUUUCAUCAACAGGAAUAACACCAAGGAAGAUGUAUUUGUACACCAGACUGCCGUAAAGAAGAAUAACUCCAGGAAGUACCUUCGCAGUGUAGGAGAUGGAGAGACUGUGGAGUUUGAUGUUGUUGAAGGAGAAAAGGGUGCGGAGGCAGCAAAUGUUACAGGCCCUGGUGGAAUUCCAGUUCAAGGCAGUAAAUAUGCAGCAGACCGUAACCAUUAUAGGCACUAUCCACGUCUCGGGUCCUCCAUGCAAUUACCAGCAGAAUUACCAGAAUAGCGAGAGUGGGGGAAAAGAACGAGGGAUUGGAGAGAGCUCCUGAAGGCCGGGACCAACAACGCCGGCCCUACCGCAGGCGAAGGUUCCCACCUUACUACAUGCGGAGACCCUAUGGGCAUCGACCACAGUAUUCCAACCCUCCUGUGCAGGGAGAAGUGAUGGAGGGUGCUGACAACCAGGGUGCAGGAGAACAAGGUAGACCAGUAAGACAGAAUAUGUAUCGGGGUUAUAGACCACGAUUCCACAGGGGUCCUCCUCGCCAAAGACAGCACAGAGAAGACGGCAAUGAAGAGGAUAAAGAGAAUCAAAGAGAUGAGACCCAAGGUCAGCAGCCGCCUCAACGUGGGUACUGUCGCAACUUCAAUUACCGACACAGACCCCCAGAAAACCCUAAACCACAAGAUGGCAAAGAGACAAAAGCAGCCGAUCCACCAGCUGAGAAUUCGUCCGCUCCCGAGGCUGAGCAGGGCGGGGCUGAGUAAAUGCCGGCUUACCAUCUCUACCAUCGUCCAGUUUAGUCAUCCAACAAGAAGAAACGAAUAUGAAAUUCCAGCAAUAAGAAAUGAGCAAAAGAUUGAAGCUGAAGACCUUAAGUGCUUGCUUUUUGCCUGUUGACCAGAUAACUAGAGCUAUCUGCAUUAUCUAUAGCAUGGGGUUUUUAUUAUUUUUACCUAAAGAAGUCUUUUUUGGUAAUAACAAACAUGU